Poecile atricapillus (Black-capped chickadee) is the source of this 573-nucleotide long non-coding RNA. RefSeq lists it as uncharacterized. The transcript has 3 exons. The record is from RefSeq and is a predicted model, not a curated record. Lineage: Eukaryota; Metazoa; Chordata; Aves; Passeriformes; Paridae.
GGACAAGUCCCAGGCCCCUGUUACUUGAAAUUUGUCAUGUAGGUGUAGUUGGAGUCUAGCGGGUGUUCCUAGGUUGACAUAAGAUGUCUGGAGCUGUGAAGUUACCCUGCAGCACUUUGACUUUUGUCUUAGCUUUCUUUCAGAUGCGGACGGAUGAAAUCAGUGGCAGAGCGCCCCAUCCAGGGUAAGGGGGUUCCCGCGAGAAGGUAAGUCAAUGUUUGUCUUUGCAGGGCAACUGGAACCGGUCACUGUGUGACAGGUCUCCUCUUUGUCUUUAUUUUUAGGAAGUAGAGCCAGCUGGCAGCAGUCAAGGCGAAGUGGGCAAGGCGGUCCAGUCGCGUUUCGCCGAGACGUCCUUGCCAACCGGCCGGCACAGCUGCUUCACCGCUCCCGUGAGCCCUGCGGAAGCGUUAUGGAACCGUGUGACGGAGCGUUUUCCACGUAAAGGGGCCAUGUGUGUGGCCUUCAGGAACGGGCCGAGGGGUUGCCGCGCGCCCUGUGACGACGGCGUCCGGCUCCCAGUGUGGCCGAAGCGCGCGGCCUCAGGAUGUGGCCGAGCGCAGGAGACCGUGA